Molecule: long non-coding RNA, 1521 nt
Organism: Triticum aestivum (bread wheat)
Lineage: Eukaryota; Viridiplantae; Streptophyta; Magnoliopsida; Poales; Poaceae
Exons: 2
Source: RefSeq, a predicted model, not a curated record
UUUCACCUGACCUUUAUCCUCUCACAUGACCUUAUCCUUAUCCUCCUCCACUCGUUUUCUUUCCUGUCUCUUCUUCGUUCUCCUCCUGUUGGUCUUCUUUCCUCUCCUCUCGCCAUGAACGCCACACCGCCAUGGAUGUGGCCUUCAAGCACCCAUUCCCCCUCCGUCCCCUCUCUACCUCCAUGUCGCCGUGCGUCCUCACCACCACCUCCCGCAAAGCCCGUGUUGAGGCGACGACGAGCUACUCUGCGCCCCCCUCCCCUGUGAGCUUGAGGCGACGGCGCUCACACACCGGCGACACCAUUUUUUUGCAAGACGCCAUGCGGCUAUGGCUUUGUUUUUUAUAUUUAGCCAGUUGCAACUUUUUGAUUUGUCGGUUCCAGCUUUUUAUUUCGCCGGUUGUAGCAAUUUUCAUCCACGAGCACCAAUCUUUGAUUCAUUGGUUCCAACAUUUUUUCCCGUCGGUAGUAGCUUUUCACGUCGCUGGUUCCAACUUUUGAUUUCGCCGGUCGCAACAAUCCCACUUUCGACAGUAGCAACUUUUUGAGUCAUAGGUUGUAGCACUUUAUUUCGUCUGUAGUACCUUUUUGCUGGAGGAAGGGGAUCGAUGAAGUUUUUUUUGCUACAACCAUGUAGCACAGAAGCUUCAACCAUGCGUGCCAGAGCUGCAAACCAUGGUACACCAGAGCUACGACCGGAGACGCCCAUCACCGGCAAGGCUGCAACCGGCACGAGGCAGUGCUACAACCAGUGUUCAGCGAGCUGCAAGCGACACAACGACAAGCUUCAAACCUGAUGGGUCACCAUGCCGGCGAUGGCGACCAUGCCUGCGAGGGGAGCUGCAACCAUGGCGAGUUGCUGGAACCGUCUUUUAUUUUUGCUACGGCCAAAUUUUUUGCUAUGCUCCGGUGGCGAAGUUGCGGCGAGUGGUGGCGAGCUAUGGCGACGGACGUGGGGGCGGUGACCAUGCCGGCGGUGGGCAGCACCGGCGAGGGACGGUGUUGCAGUCGACGCCGUGGAGCUACCAUGGAUGCAACACGGAGGCAAGACAAAAGGCUGCUAUGGUCAACGACCUUUUUGUUGAGAGCGGCGACGGCGAGCAUCGGCAGUGAGCGUGUGCGGCGAGGCAAAUGGGCGUGGUUCGGCGAGCGCGGGUCAUCGGCGGCUGAGGACGAGCGGGGCGUUGGUCUCCCCUUUUUCUAUUUUUAUCCUCUGCUCUUUUGUUCUUCAGCGUUUUGUGUAAGGCCGAAUCGUACGGUUUAUAAAAGCUAUAUCGUGUGGCCCACGCAGGACCGGCCGAAACUAAUUUUGGCCGGCGCACCGGCGCAGAGUGGCGCCCAUUAGCUAGAGCCAAGACACACUGAGUCUGCAGAAAAUAAAAUAAUAAACCGAAGCACAAUGAUAAGAAUGGAAGCAAAAAAUGGUAAUAGGCCAAUAGCAUAUCUUAGUUUAAGAAUGCCAUAUCUACUGAUGUCUAGUGCCUAAAACCUACCACGACAGAAUUAGUGGUGCGAUUUCUUC